This 253-nucleotide ribosomal RNA is filed under the name uncultured bacterium. Its description in RNAcentral is "partial 16S ribosomal RNA". It matches the Rfam family "Bacterial small subunit ribosomal RNA", at positions 524 to 776 of the family's 1533-position model. The record is from RNAcentral.
UACGUAGGUGGCGAGCGUUGUCCGGAAUUACUGGGUGUAAAGGGCGUGUAGGCGGGAAAUUAAGUCAGAUGUGAAAUUCCCAGGCUCAACUUGGGCGCUGCAUCUGAAACUAAUUUUCUUGAGUGCUGGAGAGGAAAGCGGAAUUCCUAGUGUAGCGGUGAAAUGCGUAGAUAUUAGGAGGAACACCAGUGGCGAAGGCGGCUUUCUGGACAGUAACUGACGCUGAGGCGCGAAAGCGUGGGGAGCAAACAGG